AGCGAACGCUGGCGGCAGGCUUAACACAUGCAAGUCGAACGCCCCGCAAGGGGAGUGGCAGACGGGUGAGUAACACGUGGGAACGUACCCUUUGGUUCGGAAUAACUUGGGGAAACUCAAGCUAAUACCGGAUAAGCCCUUAUGGGGAAAGGUUUACUGCCGAAGGAUCGGCCCGCGUCUUGUUAGCCAGUUGGUGAGGUAAUGGCUCACCAAGGCGACGAUCAGUAGGUGGUCUGAGAGGAUGAUCCGCCACACUGGGACUGAGACACGGCCCAGACUCCUACGGGAGGCAGCAGUGGGGAAUAUUGGACAAUGGGGGCAACCCUGAUCCAGCCAUGCCGCGUGAGUGAUGAAGGCCUUAGGGUUGUAAAGCUCUUUUACCCGGGACGAUAAUGACUGUACCGGGAGAAUAAGCCCCGGCUAACUUCGUGCCAGCAGCCGCCGUAA
This 447-nucleotide ribosomal RNA is filed under the name uncultured bacterium. RNAcentral's name for it is "partial 16S ribosomal RNA". It matches the Rfam family "Bacterial small subunit ribosomal RNA", at positions 29 to 523 of the family's 1533-position model. The record is from RNAcentral.